Molecule: ribosomal RNA, 306 nt
Filed under: Paenibacillus sp. Expt1_483A6_P14WM_D05
Lineage: Bacteria; Bacillati; Bacillota; Bacilli; Caryophanales; Paenibacillaceae
Description: bacterial SSU rRNA
Rfam family: Bacterial small subunit ribosomal RNA
Source: RNAcentral
UGGUUGUCGUCAGCUCGUGUCGUGAGAUGUUGGGUUAAGUCCCGCAACGAGCGCAACCCUUGAUCUUAGUUGCCAGCACUUCGGGUGGGCACUCUAAGGUGACUGCCGGUGACAAACCGGAGGAAGGUGGGGAUGACGUCAAAUCAUCAUGCCCCUUAUGACCUGGGCUACACACGUACUACAAUGGCCGGUACAACGGGCAGUGAAGCCGCGAGGUGGAACCAAUCCUAAAAAGCCGGUCUCAGUUCGGAUUGCAGGCUGCAACUCGCCUGCAUGAAGUCGGAAUUGCUAGUAAUCGCGGAUCAG